RNAcentral lists this long non-coding RNA (246 nucleotides) under Capsicum annuum. RNAcentral's name for it is "long non-coding RNA (CANN_LNC001424)". The record is from RNAcentral. Lineage: Eukaryota; Viridiplantae; Streptophyta; Magnoliopsida; Solanales; Solanaceae.
GUGCGGUUUCAAUCCCUUUUUUUGCUCUAAUUCAAACUUUUGAAUUAAGGUAAAAUUUUCUCUUAAAAUCAUAUUCAAUAUCUUAUUAUCAACUUUACCUGACAUUCAUCUCUCUAGAAAGCAAAAUCAUCUGCCUUCUCUAUAGAAUACUCCAACCAAAACCACUUUAAUACCACUGAAUCCAAUGAAUCCAAACCAAAAUUCUCAUUUCAUCCCUCCCAAACCACCAAAUAGUGACUAAAACGA